This 431-nucleotide ribosomal RNA is filed under the name Bacillota bacterium. RNAcentral's name for it is "Firmicutes bacterium partial 16S ribosomal RNA". It matches the Rfam family "Bacterial small subunit ribosomal RNA", at positions 355 to 776 of the family's 1533-position model. The record is from RNAcentral. Lineage: Bacteria; Bacillati; Bacillota.
UGGGGAAUCUUGCGCAAUGGCCUAAGGGCUGACGCAGCGACGCCGCGUGCGGGAGGACGCCCCUCGGGGUGUAAACCGCUGUCAGCGGGGACGAAGUCCUGUCGGAGGCAAUGCCGGCAGGGGUGACGGUACCCGCAGAGGAAGCACCGGCUAACUCCGUGCCAGCAGCCGCGGUAAUACGGAGGGUGCGAGCGUUGUUCGGAAUCAUUGGGCGUAAAGCGCGCGCAGGCGGCUCUUUAAGUCUACCUGUGAAAGGCCGGGGCUCAACCCCGUGCAUGCAGGAGAUACUGGAGGGCUGGAGAGGGGCAGAGGCCGGCGGAAUUCCGGGUGUAGCGGUGGAAUGCGUAGAGAUCCGGAAGAACACCAGAGGCGAAGGCGGCCGGCUGGGCCUCAUCUGACGCUGAGGCGCGAAAGCGUGGGGAGCGAACAGG